GAUGAACGCUGGCGGCGUGCCUAAUACAUGCAAGUCGAGCGAACAGACGAGGAGCUUGCUCCUCUGACGUUAGCGGCGGACGGGUGAGUAACACGUGGAUAACCUACCUAUAAGUCUGGGAUAACUUCGGGAAACCGGAGCUAAUACCGGAUAAUAUAUUGAACCGCAUGGUUCAAUAGUGAAAGACGGUUUUGCUGUCACUUAUAGAUGGAUCCGCGCCGCAUUAGCUAGUUAGUAAGGUAACGGCUUACCAAGGCAACGAUGCGUAGCCGACCUGAGAGGGUGAUCGGCCACACUGGAACUGAGACACGGUCCAGACUCCUACGGGAGGCAGCAGUAGGGAAUCUUCCGCAAUGGGCGAAAGCUUGACGGAGCAACGCCGCGUGAGUGAUGAAGGUCUUCGGAUCGUAAAACUCUGUUAUUAGGGAAGAACAAAUGUGUAAGUAACUAUGCACGUCUUGACGGUACCUAAUCAGAAAGCCACGGCUAACUACGUG
RNAcentral lists this ribosomal RNA (497 nucleotides) under uncultured bacterium. RNAcentral describes it as "partial 16S ribosomal RNA". It matches the Rfam family "Bacterial small subunit ribosomal RNA", at positions 28 to 507 of the family's 1533-position model. The record is from RNAcentral.